Molecule: long non-coding RNA, 986 nt
Organism: Hyaena hyaena (striped hyena)
Lineage: Eukaryota; Metazoa; Chordata; Mammalia; Carnivora; Hyaenidae
Exons: 5
Source: RefSeq, a predicted model, not a curated record
ACCAAACGAAGCUGAUUCGGGAGAAGCACAAAGCCAGGACCCAGAUUUGCCCACAAAUUCUCCCACACACGCUCCCCAGGCUGGCAGGCACAGCCCAUCGCGGAGCCGACGUGCCCGGAGAGAAGCGGGGUCUGCUCGGGUUCGGGGGACCCGAGGAGCUACGCUCUCCGCUCCCUCCCUCGGCGCCGCCGGCAAAACGCGCGGACUCCGGGAAAAAACAAAACCCCACUUGGUGUGCUGCAGUUCCACUCCCCGUGACACUCGCUCCGCUCGUCCCCCGAAAAGCGGACACGGGGGCAGAGAGGGGCGGACGCGGACGCGCAGCCAGACCCAGACCCCGCAGCAGAUAAAAGGGCCGAAAAACACUCCGUCAGAGUUCUUUUCCGGGGUGGGUGAGGUGAAACGAGAGACGGGUCUGACUUACAAGAAGGGGAGAGGGUCGGGGAGGGCUCGAGGGGAAAGUAGUGCCCCCCAAAGCUGAACUAUCUGAGAAAGGGAAGCAAAGAAAAAUCACUUUCCUGAAGAUAAAAGGCCGGGGAACCGGCUGGCCGCAGUCACAAAGGACGGCAGCUGAGGAGGAAAACUUUUGUGCUCUGAUUGAGAAGAAAAGCGGAACUCUAGGAAAAGAACAGAGGAACACCAUCCUUGAGCUUUGACAGAAAGAAGACCUCUCAGAGGAGGAAGGCAGAGGAACUGUUAAGAGACGGAAGCAUACAGCCCAAGUCAGGCCAGGCAGAACCAAUAAGGCUAACUGACAGCCUUUUGCAGGUUUCUUAACCAUGAGGAAAGCACAGUAAAGAGAGUCUGGACUCAGGCUGGAUGCAGUAACUGGAUAAAACUCGAGUGGUGCUGAUGAGGCCAACACUUCAGAGGAGGCAGAGCAACAGUGAAGAACUAACUUGGAUCCUCAAAUGACCUCCUGGAAUGGAGCCACCUACUUACCUUGGAGCACAGAUGGAAAUAAAUAAACUCUGUUUUAUAUAAAG